AAAAGAAAAAAAAGAAUCUAAUGCCUGAUGAGCUGAGGUGGAACAGUUUCAUCCCCAAACCACCCAUCCCCACCCCCGGCUGGUAGAAAAACUGCCUUCCAUGAAACCAGUCCCUGGUGCCAAAAAGAUUGGGGACCACUGGUUUAAGUCCUGUAGCUUUACAGACCACAGCUAGAAAGGCAACUGGUAUUAAUUCACCCUGCACGAGGACCUCCGUCUGCCUCCGCUGAGCUGCUGUCUGCUCACUUCCCCGGGUGGCACACUGGCCUGCAGGUAACUAACUCCUGAAGCUUUUAUCUGGGAAUGUCCUCUUUUUUGGGGGGUGGGGAGACAGGGUCUUGCUCUGUCACGCAGGCUGGAGUGCAGUGGCGCGAUCUCAGCUCACUGCACUCUCCGCCUCCUGGGUUCAAGCGAUUCUCCUGCCUCAGCCUCCCGAGUAGCUGGGAUUACAGGUGUGCGCCACUACACUCAGCUCAUUUUUUCUGUGUGCUUUUUGUGUAGACACGGGGUUCUCACAGUGUUGCCCAGGCUGGUGUCAUACUCCUGGCCUCCAGCAAUCUUCCCGCCUUGGCCUCCCAAAGUGCUGGGAUUACAGGCAUGAGCCACGAUACCAAGCCUUAACUCUCAUUUUUGAAGGGCUAUUUUUAGAAUUCUCGGUUUUGUCAGUUUCUUCCAUUGAAUGGUACCUGUUUUCCUGUUUCUUUGAACGUCUUGUGCUUUUUGUUGAAAACUGGUCCUUGGCCGGGCGUGGUGGCUCAAACCUGUAAUCCCAGCACUUUGGGAGGCCGAGGUGGGUGGAUCACGAGGUCAGGAGAUAGAGACCAUCCUGGCUAAUGCGGUGAAACCCCGUCUCUACUAAAAAUACAAAAAAUUAGCCAGGCAUGGUGGCAGGCGCCUGUAGUCCCAGCUACUUGGGAGGCUGAGGCAGGAGAAUGGCGUGAACGUGGGAGGCGGAGCUUGAAGUGAGCCAAGAUCAUGCCACUGCACUCCAGCCUGGGCGACAGAGUGAGACUCCAUCUCAAAAAAAAAGAAAACUGGUCCUUUGAAAACAGACUCUGCCAGUCUUUGCAGACAGGUUCUGUGCUUGGAGCCUGGGGAUCAGUGUGAGGUCUCUUCCAGGACCCGUGCAUCUCUUCCGACUCUCGGGCAAGUGCUUCAGCCUGGUGGAGUCCACGUGAGUGCAGGGUGGGUGCGAGGGUGGGCUGGGGCGCAGCCUGCGGACCCCCCCCUCAUGCCAUCUGUGUCCCCAGGUACAAGUAUGAGUUCUGCCCGUUCCACAACGUGACCCAGCACGAGCAGACCUUCCGCUGGAACGCCUACAGUGGGAUCCUCGGCAUCUGGCACGAGUGGGAGAUCGCCAACAACACCUUCACGGGCAUGUGGAUGAGGGACGGUGACGCCUGCCGUUCCCGGAGCCGGCAGAGCAAGGUGGGGCCUCAGACGGGAGCCCGGGAAGAGGGGCCCCAGUCUCCCCAACCCACCUACCCACGUUCCCUCCCCAGGUGGAGCUGGCGUGUGGAAAAAGCAACCGGCUGGCCCAUGUGUCCGAGCCGAGGACCUGCGUCUACGCGCUGACGUUCGAGACCCCCCUCGUCUGCCACCCCCACGCCUUGCUAGGUAGGGGUGCGGGACACAGUUGAGCCCAGUGGGGUCAGCCACGCACGCAGCCCUGCUGGAGGCCCUGUAGUGGUGGGGGCCAGGGUUGGGACAUGGGGUGCAGCUGAGCCUGGCUUCUCUUGGGUCCUCAGUGUACCCAACCCUGCCAGAGGCCCUGCAGCGGCAGUGGGACCAGGUAGAGCAGGACCUGGCCGAUGAGCUGAUCACCCCCCAGGUAAGCAUGCGCUCGGGGUGGCCCCUGGCGGGCCUGGCUGGGAGCUGGGUGCUGCCCCUGCAUCCUCCACCUUCAGGGCCAUGAGAAGUUGCUGAGGACACUUUUUGAGGAUGCUGGCUACUUAAAGACCCCAGAAGAAAACGAACCCACCCAGCUGGAGGGAGGUCCUGACAGCUUGGGGUUUGAGACCCUGGAAAACUGCAGGAAGGUACCGUAUUGGGGGGAGGUGGUGGCAUGCAGUAGCCCCCCACCACCUGGGCUUUCCCUUGAACUCUUUUUGUGGUAGGCUCAUAAAGAACUCUCAAAGGAGAUCAAAAGGCUGAAAGGUUUGCUCACCCAGCACGGCAUCCCCUACACGAGGCCCACAGAAACUUCCAACUUGGAGCACUUGGGCCACAAGACGCCCAGAGCCAAGUCUCCAGAGCAGCUGCGGGGUGACCCAGGACUGCGUGGGAGUUUGUGACCUUGUGGUGGGAGAGCAGAGGUGGACGCAGCCAAGAGCCCUACAGAGAAGCUGGCUGGUAGGACCCGCAGGGACCAGCUGGCCAGGCUUGUGCUCAGAGAAGCAGACAAAACAAAGAUUCAAGGUUUUAAUUAAUUCCCAUACUGAUAAAAAUAACUCCAUGAAUUCUGUAAACCAUUGCAUAAAUGCUAUAGUGUAAAAAAAUUUAAACAAGUGUUAACUUUAAACAGUUCGCUACAAGUAAAUGAUUAUAAAUACU
This 2553-nucleotide small RNA is filed under the name Pan troglodytes (chimpanzee). RNAcentral's name for it is "retained intron". The record is from RNAcentral. Lineage: Eukaryota; Metazoa; Chordata; Mammalia; Primates; Hominidae.